Non-coding RNA from Thamnophis sirtalis, 541 nucleotides. Lineage: Eukaryota; Metazoa; Chordata; Lepidosauria; Squamata; Natricidae. The record is from RefSeq and is a predicted model, not a curated record.
UCCUUCAGAGACUGGUAAAAUGAGGACCCAGAUUGUUGGGGGCAAUAUGCUGACUCUGUAAAACCGUUUAGAGAGCAAUAUGAAGCCCUGUGAAGCAGAAUAAAAGUUGAAGUACUAUUGCUAUUGCUAAAGUAGUUACCACACAAUAGUUGACAAAGCAUUUUAGACUUUAUACUUCUGGAGGUGAAACAAUUUGCACUGGCAUAACUCAGGACUGGUUAGGACUCUUGCAUGUAAAAAUUGAGGGAGGCUGAAUGAUUUUUAUGAUUGGUUUUUUUUUUCAGAACAAUGGAUAUAUUCCUACCUAUAUUCACAUUUUACAUUCUUCACAUCACCUCCUAUUGGAGUGCAAGUGAGACCAGAAGGAUUCGUAUUGAUUUUGACGGUUAUGGCACUUUGGUCAUCCCUGGCAGUGAAUGACAUUUGCCAAGUAUGACGACGACAGUCUGGUUCCUUCUGGUUAUUGCCCCUACAAGGCAUGAAAAAUUCUCUGAGUUUGUGCACAGGUGGGAUCUCAUCGGUCUCCUAAGCUGUUUCAGGC